RNAcentral lists this ribosomal RNA (429 nucleotides) under uncultured archaeon. Its description in RNAcentral is "bacterial SSU rRNA". It matches the Rfam family "Archaeal small subunit ribosomal RNA", at positions 474 to 903 of the family's 1478-position model. The record is from RNAcentral.
UACCAGCUCUCCGAGUGGUAGGGACGAUUAUUGGGCUUAAAGCGUCCGUAGCCGGCUUAGCAAGUCUCCUGUCAAAUUCAGCGACCUAAUCGUUGAGCCGCGGGAGACACUACUAGGCUAGGAGGCAGGAGAGGCCGACGGUAUUCUCGGGGUAGGGGUGAAAUCCUAUAAUCCCGGGAGGACCACCAGUGGCGAAGGCUGUCGGCUAGAACGCGCUCGACGGUGAGGGACGAAAGCUGGGGGAGCGAACCGGAUUAGAUACCCGGGUAGUCCCAGCUGUAAACGAUGCGGGCUAGGUGUUGGGGUGGCUACGAGCCACUUCAGUGCCGCAGGGAAGCCAUUAAGCCCGCCGCCUGGGGAGUACGGCCGCAAGGCUGAAACUUAAAGGAAUUGGCGGGGGAGCACCACAAGGCGUGAAGCUUGCGGUUC